GAUGAACGCUAGCGGCAGGCCUAACACAUGCAAGUCGAGGGGCAGCACAGAAACAGCAAUGUUUUGGUGGCGACCGGCGGACGGGUGCGUAACGCGUAUGCAACCUACCUUUAACAGGGGGAUAACGGAGAGAAAUUUCCACUAAUACCCCAUAACAUCGAUCAAGGCAUCUUGAUUGGUUGAAAACUCCGGUGGUUAAAGAUGGGCAUGCGUUGUAUUAGGUAGUUGGUGAGGUAGUGGCUCACCAAGCCUACGAUGCAUAGGGGGACUGAGAGGUUAGCCCCCCACAAUGGUACUGAGACACGGACCAGACUCCUACGGGAGGCAGCAGUGAGGAAUAUUGGUCAAUGGGGGCAACCCUGAACCAGCCAUGCCGCGUGCAGGAAGACGGCUCUAUGAGUUGUAAACUGCUUUUAAACAGGGAUAAAGCACAGUAUGUAUACUGUGUUGAAGGUACUGUAAGAAUAAGGAUCGGCUAACUCCGUGCCAGCCGCCGCCGUAA
Molecule: ribosomal RNA, 502 nt
Filed under: uncultured bacterium
Lineage: Bacteria
Description: partial 16S ribosomal RNA
Rfam family: Bacterial small subunit ribosomal RNA
Source: RNAcentral